Molecule: long non-coding RNA, 482 nt
Filed under: Zalophus californianus (California sea lion)
Lineage: Eukaryota; Metazoa; Chordata; Mammalia; Carnivora; Otariidae
Description: lncRNA (ENSZCAG00015017724.1)
Source: RNAcentral
CAGGAAGGCUUUAUCAGUUCUGAUGGUGAUGGAUGUGAAGAUGCGGAUGAGUGUCUGCAUGUCAGCAUAGUCUGUGACCCACCAACUCUGUGGGGACAUAGGACUGUCCCUGUGAAGAAAGCUACAGAAUUGGAAGUGAUGGAAAAACUUGUACAUCCUUAGAUGAUGGUGAGCUGGAGGAAGAAGAAGAGGAAUUAGAAGUUGUAAGGUUUCCAGGCCUUCUAUUCAAGAGCCCACCUCAACUGCUUCAUGAUGUCGCUACCUCUCUGCCUCCCACCAUGAAGGUGAAGAAGAUGAGGAGGAUGAGGAAACACAUAUUUGAGGGGAACUGAAUGCUUUGAGCAAAAUUGAUAAAGGGUUUCAUUCCCAUUUUCAGUGAUGUAGACAGUAUGGGCCAACUAAGAUGGUAUCAUAGUUCCAUUGGUGAAAAUCACAUCUUCAUACACAAUUGCACUGUGAGCUGUGAGGACCUUAUGAAUGGG